CUUGUCAUAUCCAUACAGCUUGAUCCGAUGGAGCACAGGCACCGCCAUUAUACAUCUUUCGCUUGCACCGAGUAGCAGAAUAAGCAUUUGAAGAAUCAAAAUUCAAGUAUUCUAAAAUGGAACAACCUAAAAUCGCCUUAGGCCAGUUUAUUCGUACACCGAUGCAUAGCCAAGGCAUCGUAAUAGAAAUCAAAGCCAACGGCCACGUACUUUACCAACUAUGUGACAAAGAGCUGAUUUUUGAAGCAGAAACAUAUACAAUCUUACCGACCCCAAUUGAGGAUAUACACCCGGGUCAGUUUUGUAAAAUCCUUCAAGGGAGUAAAAAAGGCGUGCGCGGAAGAACGCUAGGCAGCCAGGGUGGCAUGGUGUACAUAAUGAUAUCACCACAAUACCUUCAGCGACGUUUCCUCCACCCAAAUAUGUAUCCAGUCGCUAAAGAGCCAUGGAACAAUUUGCAUGUUUAUCCCUGCGUGUGUCGCGGCUCAAGUUGGUUAUUAUGAAUAAAAAUUAACAAGUAGUGGUUAAUGUA
Molecule: long non-coding RNA, 532 nt
Organism: Anopheles merus
Lineage: Eukaryota; Metazoa; Arthropoda; Insecta; Diptera; Culicidae
Exons: 2
Source: RefSeq, a predicted model, not a curated record